Molecule: ribosomal RNA, 253 nt
Filed under: uncultured bacterium
Lineage: Bacteria
Description: partial 16S ribosomal RNA
Rfam family: Bacterial small subunit ribosomal RNA
Source: RNAcentral
UACGUAGGGUGCGAGCGUUGUCCGGAAUUACUGGGCGUAAAGAGCUCGUAGGUGGUUUGUCGCGUUGUUCGUGAAAACUCACAGCUCAACUGUGGGCGUGCGGGCGAUACGGGCAGACUGGAGUACUGCAGGGGAGACUGGAAUUCCUGGUGUAGCGGUGGAAUGCGCAGAUAUCUGGAGGAACACCGGUGGCGAAGGCGGCAUCCUGGACCGACACUGACGCUGAGGAGCGAAAGCCAGGGGAGCAAACGGG